Molecule: ribosomal RNA, 1692 nt
Filed under: Thunnus thynnus (Atlantic bluefin tuna)
Lineage: Eukaryota; Metazoa; Chordata; Actinopteri; Scombriformes; Scombridae
Description: 16S ribosomal RNA subunit
Rfam family: Bacterial large subunit ribosomal RNA
Source: RNAcentral
GCUGACCAGCUAGCCCACCCAAACAAAAACAACAACCCAAUAUAAAUAACCCCAAACACACUACUCCUCCUAUAAACAAACCAUUUUACCCCCCUAGUAUGGGCGACAGAAAAGGAACUAUUGGAGCGAUAGAGAAAGUACCGCAAGGGAACGCUGAAAGAGAAAUGAAAUAACCCAGUAAAGCCUAAAAAAGCAGAGAUUUUACCUCGUACCUUUUGCAUCAUGAUUUAGCUAGUACUACCCAAGCAAAGAGAACUUUAGUUUGGACCCCCGAAACUAGGUGAGCUACUCCAAGACAGCCUAUCAAUAGGGCAAACCCGUCUCUGUGGCAAAAGAGUGGGAAGAGCUUUGAGUAGAGGUGACAGACCUACCGAACCUAGUUAUAGCUGGUUGCCUGAGAAUUGGAUAGGAGUUCAGCCUCCAGGCUUCUCUAUUCACCGCGGUCUUACCCCUACCGAUGCACUAAAGAAGCCUAGAGAGUUAAUCAAAGGGGGUACAGCCCCUUUGAGACAAGAUACAACUUUUCCAGGAGGGUAAAGAUCAUAUUUACCCAAGGUAACAAUGCCCAGGUGGGCCUAAAAGCAGCCAUCCUUACAGAAAGCGUUAAAGCUCAAGCAUUACACCUUCCCACAUAUUCAGAUAACCAUAUCCCAACCCCCUAAUAUUAUCAGGCCAUCUCAUGCAUACAUGAGAGUGCACAUGCUAAUAUGAGUAACAAGAGAGCCUCCGCCUCUCUCCUUGCACACGUGUAAAUCGGAACGAACCCCCACCGAAACUUAACGGCCCCAAACAAAGAGGGCAAUGAACAACAAGUAAGCAACCAGAAAACCAUCCAAAAAACAACCGUUAACCCCACACUGGUGUGCCAUUAAGGAAAGACUAAAAGAAAAAGAAGGAACUCGGCAAACAUACCAAGCCUCGCCUGUUUACCAAAAACAUCGCCUCUUGCAAAAACAAAGAAUAAGAGGUCCAGCCUGCCCUGUGACUAUAUGUUUAACGGCCGCGGUAUUUUAACCGUGCGAAGGUAGCGCAAUCACUUGUCUUUUAAAUGGAGACCUGUAUGAAUGGCAUUACGAGGGCUUAACUGUCUCCUUUUUCUAGUCAGUGAAAUUGAUCUCCCCGUGCAGAAGCGGGGAUAUAACCAUAAGACGAGAAGACCCUAUGGAGCUUUAGACACCAAGGCAUAUCAUGUCAAACACCCCUAAACAAAGGACUAAACCAAAUGAAUCAUGCCCCCAUGUCUUUGGUUGGGGCGACCGCGGGGAAAUAAAAAACCCCCACGUGGAAUGGGAGUACUACCUCCUACAACCAAGAGCUGCAGCUCUAAAAAACAGAAUAUCUGACCAAUAAGAUCCGGCAACGCCGAUCAACGGACCGAGUUACCCUAGGGAUAACAGCGCAAUCCCCUUUUAGAGCCCAUAUCGACAAGGGGGUUUACGACCUCGAUGUUGGAUCAGGACAUCCUAAUGGUGCAGCCGCUGUUAAGGGUUCGUUUGUUCAACGAUUAAAGUCCUACGUGAUCUGAGUUCAGACCGGAGUAAUCCAGGUCAGUUUCUAUCUAUGAUAUGUUCUUUUCUAGUACGAAAGGACCGAAAAGAAGAGGCCAAUGCUAAAAGCACGCCUCACCCCUCCUAUUGAAAACAACUAAAAUAGGCAAAAGGGCAUACCCCUCCACGCCCAAGAUAAUGGCAU